This 494-nucleotide ribosomal RNA is filed under the name Morganella morganii. RNAcentral describes it as "bacterial SSU rRNA". It matches the Rfam family "Bacterial small subunit ribosomal RNA", at positions 38 to 520 of the family's 1533-position model. Lineage: Bacteria; Pseudomonadati; Pseudomonadota; Gammaproteobacteria; Enterobacterales; Morganellaceae. The record is from RNAcentral.
GGGCUAGGGCGCAGCUACACAUGCAGUCGGGCGGUAACAGGGAGAAGCUUGCUUCUCCGCUGACGAGCGGCGGACGGGUGAGUAAUGUAUGGGGAUCUGCCUGAUGGAGGGGGAUAACUACUGGAAACGGUAGCUAAUACCGCAUAAUGUCUUCGGACCAAAGCGGGGGACCUUCGGGCCUCGCGCCAUCAGAUGAACCCAUAUGGGAUUAGCUUGUAGGUGAGGUAACGGCUCACCUAGGCGACGAUCCCUAGCUGGUCUGAGAGGAUGAUCAGCCACACUGGGACUGAGACACGGCCCAGACUCCUACGGGAGGCAGCAGUGGGGAAUAUUGCACAAUGGGCGCAAGCCUGAUGCAGCCAUGCCGCGUGUAUGAAGAAGGCCUUCGGGUUGUAAAGUACUUUCAGUCGGGAGGAAGGUGUUAAGGUUAAUAACCUUGGCAAUUGACGUUACCGACAGAAGAAGCACCGGCUAACUCUGUGCAGCAGCCGCCA